CUUAGACACUGGAGGCAACGUUACUCUGAACUUCGUCGCAGUUCGAAUCAUCAACAAUGAACACCCUCGCUGUUGCACUCUGUUUGGUUCUGGUGGCGAUGGCCUCAGCCACAUAUCCACAAGGAGGAGGAUACGGCCGUGGGGGAAAUGACAUCUGGAACAACCAAUACCCAAAGCAGGUGGCUAAUAUCAAUCAACAACAGUCCAACAAACAAUAUGUUGAUCAAGAUCAGUUUAACCGCGGAGGACGAUUCCCCCAUGGCGGCGGCUAUGGCGACUAUGGCUUUGGCGGCCCUGGCUUUGGCGGCCCUGGCUAUGGCGGCAAGGGUUUCAGAUAUUGAGAUGGGUAACUGUUUGAUGGAAUAUACACACUGAGUAUGUGAAGUGUAUGACGUAAAUGAAUAAACCAUAGCUGCACAGGU
Molecule: long non-coding RNA, 422 nt
Filed under: Haliotis rufescens (red abalone)
Lineage: Eukaryota; Metazoa; Mollusca; Gastropoda; Lepetellida; Haliotidae
Description: uncharacterized LOC124142844
Source: RNAcentral